AGGAGCGGCGGAUGUUGGAGCGGCGUGUGGCUGAGCUGGAGGGAGAGUUGAAGGUGCUCGGCGACCUGAGAGCUGACAACCAGCGACUGAAAGACGAGAACGGAGCGUUGAUCAGAGUCAUCAGUAAGCUCUCCAAAUAGACGGAGAGAACGAGAGAGAGAGAGAGAGAGACAACAGGGAUGCCCCCUCGCCUCCUCCCAUCAUCCCUCCCCCCUGUCCAUCCACUCCUCCCAGUGCCAAAGAACAAGAGAGAGAGAGGUGGGGGGGGGGGGCAGACAA
Long non-coding RNA from Salvelinus sp. IW2-2015, 279 nucleotides. RefSeq lists it as uncharacterized. The record is from RefSeq and is a predicted model, not a curated record. Lineage: Eukaryota; Metazoa; Chordata; Actinopteri; Salmoniformes; Salmonidae.